CGACUUUUAGUUUGCCUUCCCGAAACUAAGUGAGCUACUUUAAAGCAGCUAUUAGAGCUAACCCGUCUCUGUCGCAAAAGAGUGGGGUGACUUUAAAGUAGAGGUGAUAGACCUACCGAACUUAGAGAUAGCUGGUUUUUUAAGAAAAGAAUUUUAGUUCAGCCCCAAGCCUUUCGUUAAGCAAAAAACCUUCUUAGGCCUGGGAGUCAUUCAUAUAGGGCACAGCCUAUUUGAAACAGGAUACAACCUAGAAUAUAGGGUAAAACAAUGUGAUUUUUCUAUAAGUGGGCUUGAAAGCAGCCACCUUUCAAAAAGCGUUGUAGCUUAUUGAUACUGAUUAUUUAAUAACCUCAAAAAUGUUUAACCCACACACACUAUUAAACUAUCCCAUAAAUUUAUGGGAGCUAUCAUGCUAGAACAAGUAACAAGAAAAAGAUUUUUCUCCAAAAUACAAGCUUUAGCCGCUACAGACAAACUACCGGCA
RNAcentral lists this ribosomal RNA (484 nucleotides) under Boophis quasiboehmei. RNAcentral's name for it is "partial 16S ribosomal RNA". It matches the Rfam family "Bacterial large subunit ribosomal RNA", at positions 696 to 1378 of the family's 2925-position model. Lineage: Eukaryota; Metazoa; Chordata; Amphibia; Anura; Mantellidae. The record is from RNAcentral.